Molecule: ribosomal RNA, 245 nt
Filed under: Mesorhizobium sp.
Lineage: Bacteria; Pseudomonadati; Pseudomonadota; Alphaproteobacteria; Hyphomicrobiales; Phyllobacteriaceae
Description: partial 23S ribosomal RNA
Rfam family: Bacterial large subunit ribosomal RNA
Source: RNAcentral
CCUCUGGUGUUCCGGUUGUCACGCCAGUGGCAUUGCCGGGUAGCUAUGUUCGGAAAAGAUAACCGCUGAAAGCAUCUAAGCGGGAAACUUGCCUCAAGAUGAGAUCUCACUGGAGCCUUGAGCUCCCUGAAGGGCCGUCGAAGACUACGACGUUGAUAGGCAGGGUGUGUAAGCGCUGUGAGGCGUUGAGCUAACCUGUACUAAUUGCCCGUGAGGCUUGACCAUAUAACACCCAAGCAAUUUGG